AAACCAACAGGGAUUGCCCUAGUAACGGCGAGUGAAGCGGCAACAGCUCAAAUUUGAAAUCUGGCCCUCGGGUCCGAGUUGUAAUUUGUAGAGGAUGCUUUUGGCGCGGUGCCUUCCGAGUUCCCUGGAACGGGACGCCUUAGAGGGUGAGAGCCCCGUAUGGUUGGACACCAAGCCUCUGUAUAGCUCCUUCGACGAGUCGAGUAGUUUGGGAAUGCUGCUCUAAAUGGGAGGUAAAUUUCUUCUAAAGCUAAAUAUUGGCCAGAGACCGAUAGCGCACAAGUAGAGUGAUCGAAAGAUGAAAAGCACUUUGAAAAGAGGGUUAAAUAGCACGUGAAAUUGUUGAAAGGGAAGCGUUUGCGACCAGACCUUUUCCUAGCGGAUCAACUCUGGGUUAAUCUGCGAGUGCACUUCGCUAGGUUUAGGCCAGCAUCGGUUUCCGUAGGGGGAUAAAAGCUCUGGGAAUGUGGCUCCUCCGGGAGUGUUAUAGCCCUCUGCAUAAUACCUUUACGGGGACCGAGGACCGCGCUUCGGCAAGGAUGCUGGCGUAAUGGUCGUCAACGAC
This 565-nucleotide ribosomal RNA is filed under the name Xylaria atrosphaerica. RNAcentral describes it as "eukaryotic LSU rRNA". It matches the Rfam family "Eukaryotic large subunit ribosomal RNA", at positions 62 to 648 of the family's 3401-position model. Lineage: Eukaryota; Fungi; Ascomycota; Sordariomycetes; Xylariales; Xylariaceae. The record is from RNAcentral.